RNAcentral lists this transfer RNA (71 nucleotides) under Sphaerodactylus townsendi. RNAcentral's name for it is "tRNA-Ala". It matches the Rfam family "tRNA". Rfam says of the family: Transfer RNA (tRNA) molecules are approximately 80 nucleotides in length. Their secondary structure includes four short double-helical elements and three loops (D, anti-codon, and T loops). The record is from RNAcentral. Lineage: Eukaryota; Metazoa; Chordata; Lepidosauria; Squamata; Sphaerodactylidae.
GGGUCAUGGCUCAGUGGCAGAGCAUUUGAUUUGCGUGCAGAAGGCCCUGGGUUCAAUCCCUGGCAUAUCCA